This 380-nucleotide long non-coding RNA is filed under the name Manihot esculenta (cassava). RNAcentral's name for it is "long non-coding RNA (MESC_LNC004531)". The record is from RNAcentral. Lineage: Eukaryota; Viridiplantae; Streptophyta; Magnoliopsida; Malpighiales; Euphorbiaceae.
GAUAGUAGGGUGGCGUUGGAGUUACCGGAGGCUUUGGUGGUAAAGUUGGUGGUGUUGGGACCACCGGAGGUUUAGGUGGUAAAGUUGGUGGCGUCGGGACCACCGGAGGCUUUGGUGGCAAAGUUGGUGGUGUUGGGGUCACCGGAGGCUUUGGUGGUAAAGUUGGUGGUGAUGGGGUCACCGGAGGCUUUGGUGGUAAAGUUGGUGGUUUCGGUGGGUAAACGAUAGGCGGUUUUGGAUAAUAUGGUGGCGGUUUUGGUGGUAAAGUUGGUGGUUUCGGUGGGUAAACGAUAGGCGGUUUUGGAUAAUAUGGUGGCUUUACAACAGGAGGUUUGGGUACCAAAGGUGGCGGCUUUACUACAGGAGGUUUUGGCACAUAG